Molecule: non-coding RNA, 30 nt
Filed under: Mus musculus (house mouse)
Lineage: Eukaryota; Metazoa; Chordata; Mammalia; Rodentia; Muridae
Source: RNAcentral
UAUCAAACAGGUGUAUGUAUUAUAUUCAAC